CUACUCCUUCUCCUUCCCGACUCCGCUCCCCUCUGUCCUAUGCUACUUCUCUUCUCCUCCUCUCCCCUCCCGUCCUCUCAUCUCUUCCAUUAGAUAUUCCUGCUGGCGGUGUGGCAUUGGGAGUUCUACAUGUUGCCUCUCUGUCUGGUUCUGCUCAUCACAUGGAACUAUCUUCAGAUUGCAUCUGGACGGGCCAACCAGGACCUGGAUAAUAUGGACUUGGGCGAUGAAGAUGAUGAAGAUGAAAAGGAAUCCGAGAAGAGAGGUUUGAUGGAAAAAAUUCACAUGGUUCAAGAGACUGUCAUCACUGUCCAAAACCUGUUGGAGGAAAUCGCAUGCUUCGGGGAGAGAAUUAAAA
Molecule: long non-coding RNA, 358 nt
Organism: Oncorhynchus gorbuscha (pink salmon)
Lineage: Eukaryota; Metazoa; Chordata; Actinopteri; Salmoniformes; Salmonidae
Exons: 3
Source: RefSeq, a predicted model, not a curated record